RNAcentral lists this long non-coding RNA (291 nucleotides) under Pan troglodytes (chimpanzee). Its description in RNAcentral is "long non-coding RNA NONPTRT016456". Lineage: Eukaryota; Metazoa; Chordata; Mammalia; Primates; Hominidae. The record is from RNAcentral.
GGUGAGGGGAGGUGUUAGAAGACCUUUUAACUACCUAAGGAGUUUACAUUUUAUCCUCAGGAAAAUGGGAUGUCAUCGAAGCCCUUUAAGAAAAGGAGGGAUGUGAUCAGAUUUGUAAUUUUCAAAGAUUUCCUGAGGUGCUGUGAAUUUUACAGAUCAACUGAGACGCAAAACCCAUGUUCACAUCAUGGGUGAGUCUUCUAACUCGGACAACGCAAUCAACAAAUUCUAAGACCAAAUUCCGGCGGCACUGGCUCCAAAGGACUCAUGGUCUAUCAAAGAGCAGGACCU